AUUGAACGCUGGCGGCAUGCCUUACACAUGCAAGUCGAACGGCAGCGGACCUUCGGGUGCCGGCGAGUGGCGAACGGGUGAGUAAUAUAUCGGAACGUACCUUUCAGUGGGGGAUAACGUAGCGAAAGUUACGCUAAUACCGCAUAUUCUGUGAGCAGGAAAGCAGGGGAUCGCAAGACCUUGCGCUGAUUGAGCGGCCGAUAUCAGAUUAGCUAGUUGGUGAGGUAAAGGCUCACCAAGGCGACGAUCUGUAGCGGGUCUGAGAGGAUGAUCAGCCACACUGGGACUGAGACACGGCCCAGACUCCUACGGGAGGCAGCAGUGGGGAAUAUUGGACAAUGGGCGAAAGCCUGAUCCAGCCACGCCGCGUGGGUGAUGAAGGCC
This 384-nucleotide ribosomal RNA is filed under the name uncultured bacterium. RNAcentral's name for it is "bacterial SSU rRNA". It matches the Rfam family "Bacterial small subunit ribosomal RNA", at positions 30 to 416 of the family's 1533-position model. The record is from RNAcentral.